AGGCUGGUUCCGUGCAUUAGCAGAAAUCUGCCUAAGAAUGUAGAAAAAAAAAUCUAAAACGUUUUGAAUUCCUCAAUGAUUUUUGUGGAAAGGCGGCUUAGGAUAAUUAUUUCAGCUUUAUUGAGGGCAGAUUAGUUGAAGUCUCGAUGCCCUGUUUCAAUACGCCUUGUAUAUGCCUUUACAAUGUAU
Lepisosteus oculatus (spotted gar) is the source of this 189-nucleotide unclassified non-coding RNA. The record is from Ensembl. NCBI's taxonomy places the organism in Eukaryota, Metazoa, Chordata, Actinopteri, Semionotiformes, Lepisosteidae.